Hippocampus zosterae (dwarf seahorse) is the source of this 514-nucleotide long non-coding RNA. RefSeq lists it as uncharacterized. The record is from RefSeq and is a predicted model, not a curated record. NCBI's taxonomy places the organism in Eukaryota, Metazoa, Chordata, Actinopteri, Syngnathiformes, Syngnathidae. The transcript has 2 exons.
CACCUUUGUGUCAGGGAGUGGCGUUGAACCCCUUUUGCAUCAAAAGCAACUGUCACAACGGACGCUGAUGUCGCCUAUUUGCGUUGCUGUGUAAAAGCGCAUAAGGCUGCGACAUUAUCCCAUUUCGCUGGGUUCUGUAUAAAAACAUUCAACACCAGAUCUCUAGUUGAAGGAGCAUAGAAAGAAAGAGUAGCUGCUUUCACACAGAGAGCCUACAAAAUCGACCCAAACGUGCAGACAUUUUUGUAGAUUGAAAUUUUGCAGGGUUUCUGUGAGGGAGAGAGGGAGAGAGGGAGAGAGAGAGAGAGAGAGGGAGAGAGGAGGCCUUAAAUCUGAUGCAUGAAUUUGCAGGACCUCCGUGUGAAAAUAGGCUCCGCCCUCUCUUGCUCCAGAUUUAAACUUUUACACAAAGAUUCUACAAAACUGUGUAGCCGUAGUGGCAUUUGGUCCACUUGGCUUUUCACACAAAACCCAGCAAAAUGGGAUGUGACCACAACACAGCAAACCAGCAUCA